This 3118-nucleotide long non-coding RNA is filed under the name Capsella grandiflora. RNAcentral's name for it is "long non-coding RNA (CGRA_LNC001691)". Lineage: Eukaryota; Viridiplantae; Streptophyta; Magnoliopsida; Brassicales; Brassicaceae. The record is from RNAcentral.
UAAGGUUGCUAAAGAGAAGGUUCAAGUCAAGGGAUACAAGAAGACUUACAAGAUGAGUAGCUCUCGGGUCGAGGUGGACAGAUUUGAUGGGACUGGUGAUUUCUCUCUGUGGAAGGUCAGGAUGCUGGCUCACUUUGGUGUGCUAGGGCUGAAAGAUAUCUUGCAUGAUGAGCAGCUGCUAAAAGACCCACCUACUACUGGAACAGAACCUGCAGCAGCUCAGAGAGACUCUGAAACAGGCACAAGCGGAAGUUCAGAGCUGUCCACAAGUAUUGAUCCUGCAAAGUUGGAAAAAUCAGAGAAGGCAAAGGAUCUUAUAGUACUAAAUGUGGGAAAUCAAGUACUAAGGAAGAUCACACAUUGUGAAACUGCUGCAGCCAUGUGGUCGACUCUAAACAGGUUAUACAUGGAGACCUCUUUGCCUAAUCGCAUCUACUUACAGCUUAAGUUCUAUACUUUUAAGAUGACAGAUUCUAAGAGUAUAGAUGAGAAUGUUGAUGACUUUCUUAAGCUGGUUGCUGAUCUAAACAAUAUAGGAGUGGAAGUGACAGAAGAGGUUCAAGCUAUAUUGUUGUUGAGUUCAUUAUCUGACAGGUAUGAUCAACUCAAAGAGACUCUUAAAUACGGCCGAGAUACUUUGAGUUUGAAUGAUGUCAUAGGGGCUGCAAAAUCAAAGGAAAGAGAGCUGACAGAGAGUGGGAAGCUCUCCAGAUCAGAGGCAGAAGGGUUAUAUGUUGAGAGAAGAGGUAGAUCAAAUGAUAGGUUCAACAACAACCAAGGGAGAGGAAGAUCUAAGAGCAGAGGAAGAUCUAGGCCAAGGUACAGCAAAUCUGACACAAGCUGUUUCAUUUGUGGAAAGGAAGGGCACUGGAAAAGAGAAUGUCCGGAAAGAAAGAAGCCUACGGAAUCGGCCAACAUCGCAGCCGAGCCUACGCAGCCUUUGGUAUUAACAGUUAGCACUCAAGACACAAAAAAUGAAUGGGUUAUGGAUUCGGGUUGUACAUUCCACAGUACAAGAGACAGAGAAGUCUUGUUUGACUUCAAGGAGUUCAGUGAUGAGAAAGUGCUCAUGGCUAACAACACGUGUGCUGAGGUCAAGGGAAUUGGAAAGAUUCAGAUUCAGAAUCCAGAUGGUUCUAUAGUGAUACUCAAGGAUGUGCGAUACAUGCCGGAAGUGAGAAGAAAUCUGAUUUCUUAUGGAAUGUUAGAAAAGUCAGGCUGCAAUUAUAAAGGAAGUGGCUUCGUGGUGAAUUUAUACAAAGACAAUAAGAAAGUGAUAUCGGGAAAAUAUCACAAAGGGCUCUAUUAUCUACAAGGCACAGUUUCUAAAGGGGAAGGAAAUGUGUCAAAGGCUGAAGAUGGAGUGAGAAAGAGGAAGUCAAAGAAAGUGACAUUUAGUGUGAAUCUAGUUCAGGGACCUACUCCAUAUGGUUUUAAGACAAGAGGAAUAUCAGAUCAAGGUGGAGAUUCAUCCUCCACAGAAAAAUCAGAAAGUUCAGAUGAGGUUAAAUCAGAAAAGAGCGAAGGAAUUUCUGAUGACCAGCCACCAUUGAGUGAUCACAGUAAGACGUCAGUGCACAGCGAUAGUGAUGUGAAGGAUGAACGGGUUAUGGUGGAUAAACCAGAAAAUAUCAGCAAGAAAGGAGAGUUAUCAGAAAUCAGUUUGGUUCAAGAAAGUGUAAGCGAUGAAGUUGCAAUUAAAGAGUUGGGAAAAGUUUCAAGAAUUCAGGAAAUGAACAUCAAAAGAGAUAGAGCAAAGGAAGGUGUAGCUCUCUCACAGAAAAAAGAAGAUGAGGCUGUUGGAAAAUCUGAAGCUAAAGCAAUGUUUGUUGGAAACAUGGUAUCAAAAGGAGAGGAGUUGCUAAGCAAGAUACUAUCAAGUAUAUAUCCAACAGAUUUAAUAAGUCAAGCAGUACCUGUAGAGGAUUUUCAGGUUUGCUAUGAUCUCCUCAAUAUCGUCUGACGGACUGCACAGCUCCAGGUAACUCCAUAAUCGACAUUCGACACUGACAGGGAAGAAGAACAGAGAAAUUAGUCAGUUUGGAGAAAUUAUUGUUAUGUCGAUAAUCUAGAAUCAGAAGGGUUAAAGGAGUUACCUGUAGACAUCUGGAAUUACAGUGAGGAGACAUAAAUUCCAGGUGGAGCUGUGGGGAAAAUUCAAGAAAAACAAAAAAAAGGUGGGAGUUUCGGUGAUGAAAGUUCAAGAAAUCCAAGUUUGGAUUUUCAGCGGCUCAAGGUGAAGAUAUCCAGCAGAGAGGAGGAUGAUUCAUGGUGAGGGUACCUCAAGUCAUCAAGGAGAAGAACACAUGUUAUUUCAAGUGGAGUUGCUGUUCAUAAAGAAACAAAACAUGAAAGGAGGAUUAAGGUUUUGUCCGAACAAAAUCCAGAGAUAGAGAUGGAGCUAAAGCUGAUGCAAUUGGUGAGAUAAUUCUUACCAAAGGGUCACUGGAAUUGAUUGUUUGUUGGUGACGACGAGGUGGAGCAGCUCAGCAGCUAAAAGUGAUUCAAAAUUGAAACUUUAUGUUUCAAAAUUUCUGGAAAUUUCAAAUGAUUUUUUUUUAUCUCUAGUGUCAAGAAGAGACAAGAGAGAGAUUGGUCGUACCUGGGAUUUAUAGAGGAGGAGGUGACCAGAGAAGCUGGGAAUCACGUCGGAAAAAAUGAUGGAGUUUGGCACCGGAAUAGGCUUCAAAAGGUGAAAAUUGGUGUUUUUUCAAUUUUCUGGAAAUUUAGAAGAACCUAAUCUCUAAUUGUGGCAACAAAACAAUAAGUAAGAAAGAGAUUAGAGGGUGCCUGAGAUGAACGGUGACGACGGUUUCACCGGAGACGUUUCAUCGGAGAAGACGAAGGAGCUGCGUUUAAUCCAUUGGAGGAGACAAAGUGGAUGUCUCAAAUUUGGGGGCCGGCUGGAGCGAUUCGUUCGCCGGAGAUGGAGGAAGAGAUCGCCGGAGUAAACCGCCGUAAGUGAUGGCUGAACCGGUGAUGCAUAGUUUCACGACCAGUGGAAGAGAUGGUUAUGGUUUUCUUCAUAUGUCGAUGGCGAAGAUUGCGUUAUUGUCAAAAGGUGGAGUUUGUUGUUGGGUUUGACAAAACACAAUCAAUGGGCCCUUAAUGGGCUGAC